Non-coding RNA from Drosophila melanogaster (fruit fly), 701 nucleotides. The record is from Ensembl. Lineage: Eukaryota; Metazoa; Arthropoda; Insecta; Diptera; Drosophilidae.
AUUUAUUUGAAGUAACAUUGGCAAACAAUCAUUGAAGCUUUCGUCCCAAUAAUUUUCAGGUGUUUCCGUAGAGUAUCUGUAUGCCAAACAUAAUCAAAAUCUGAUAAAGUAUUUCAAUGAGACUGCCUGCUUGUCUGGAAUGCCAGCACUUCACCUCGCAGCUCAGUCAUAUGCAUUUAUUUGUCUAUCUGGUUGUUGAAAAAAGCAUUUCGAUACGUCUAAGCAGAAUGCAUAAACAAACCAAAAAUCUAUUUGCAAUUUGGCCAAGUCAGCUGGAAAGGACAAAAACAGAGCCAGUUUCCUUGUGGCUGCUCAUAUUGUUCCAGCAUCGAGCUUCGUAAUGAAGAAGAGGAACAAUAGAUCGAGAUUGACACAGAUGGGGUUCGAAAUAAAAGAACAAAAUUUGCAGGCAGCCACGUCUAAUGAACAUACGAGUGCCGGACUCAUUCAAUACCAUUUCCACAAAUGGAAAUUCCAGAUUUUUUGAUACCAAUAGAUACAUACAUGCAUACAUACAUUCCCCCCACCUGAAUACAACGAAUAAAGCCAAAAACGUGCUGCAAACACAGAUAUGAGAGCUGUGCAAUCAUUAUAAAUUGAAAAUGUAAACUUUGUCGCGAAGUAUGCCAUAAAAAUCCGGCGACAAAAAAAAAGAGAGAUAGUAAUACCCAUCGACUGGAUAUGUGAAUAUAUAUAUGAAU